RNAcentral lists this ribosomal RNA (326 nucleotides) under uncultured eukaryote. RNAcentral's name for it is "partial 18S ribosomal RNA". It matches the Rfam family "Eukaryotic small subunit ribosomal RNA", at positions 1470 to 1796 of the family's 1831-position model. The record is from RNAcentral.
CCCUUAGAUGUUCUGGGCCGCACACGCGCUACACUGAAGGAGGCAGCGUGUACUCCUGGAUCGAAAGAUUUGGGUAACCCGCGAAUCUCCUUCGUGCUAGGGAUUGAGGUUUGCAAUUAUCCUUCAUGAACGAGGAAUUCCCAGUAAGUGCAAGUCAUAAGCUUGCGCUGACUACGUCCCUGCCCUUUGUACACACCGCCCGUCGCACCUACCGAUUGAAUGGUCCGGUGAAUCUUUAGGACUGUGGCUGAGGCCUUGCCUUGUGCGGGUCUGGCCGUGGGAAUUUAGUUAAACCUUACCAUUUAGAGGAAGGUGAAGUCGUAACA